CCGCAUGAGUUGCGUCCUGUUGUAAAUAUGGACAAACAGUAAAGUUGAUGAAGUUUAAGUGAGCACUAUGUCAGUCAUUGAUGCUCAUAAAAGGCCAUCACACAUAG
RNAcentral lists this small nucleolar RNA (107 nucleotides) under Setaria italica (foxtail millet). The record is from RNAcentral. Lineage: Eukaryota; Viridiplantae; Streptophyta; Magnoliopsida; Poales; Poaceae.